UUGUCGUAUCCUACCACUCGACACACUCGCGAACGGUUGACCCCUGCCAUCUCGGAGGGGGGCGGGUUCUCCUCCUCGGGCUCCUGUCUCUCUUCGAGAUAUUUUCCCUGCCUUCGCCACGUUCGACCGGUGGGGAGCCAGCCUCCUAUCGAGAUCGGGCUGUCGACCGGCGGGACGAUGAAUCUUCCGGCGCGGCAUGCGUCAAGGAAAACGGAAGUGAAGGCCCGCGUCACCCAUCCGUGCGGUGGAUGCACGUGGUGCUCGACACCCAAUACGAAAUGAGUUUGAACGACUCCCGGCAACGGAUAUCUAGGCUCUCGCAUCGAUGAAGAACGUAGCGAAAUGCGAUACGUGGUGUGAAUUGCAGAAUCCCGUGAACCAUCGAAUCUUUGAACGCAAGUUGCGCCCGAGGCCUCUAGGUCGAGGGCACGCCUGCCUGGGCGUCACGCCCCGCGUCGCUCCCUGACCCCCCCUCACAGAGUGCGGGGGUGAGGGAUGCGGAGAUUGGCCCACCGUGCACGUGUGCGGCAGGCUGAAGAACUCGGCCCUCCUGCCGGGCGAUUAACGGCGAGUGGUGGACGAUGGUCAUCGUCGCCGUGCCCGCGCGCAAGGACGGGCCGACCAUGAGGAACCCAGUCAUCGGAGAGAACAAACGCCCAUAUCUUCUUAUGAUAGGGUGGUAUCUCUUGAUCGCGACCCCA
This 701-nucleotide ribosomal RNA is filed under the name Arisaema erubescens. Its description in RNAcentral is "eukaryotic LSU rRNA". The stretch from base 291 to 446 matches the Rfam family "5.8S ribosomal RNA". Lineage: Eukaryota; Viridiplantae; Streptophyta; Magnoliopsida; Alismatales; Araceae. The record is from RNAcentral.